Perca fluviatilis (European perch) is the source of this 232-nucleotide long non-coding RNA. RefSeq lists it as uncharacterized. The transcript has 3 exons. Lineage: Eukaryota; Metazoa; Chordata; Actinopteri; Perciformes; Percidae. The record is from RefSeq and is a predicted model, not a curated record.
CGAGAAUCACCAGAACGCCAACAACCAAACCGAUGAUGAUAUAAGCAGUCGAACCAGAAUCAGAAUCAUCUGGAGGGAUAAAACACAAAACAGCAUGUGGCCUGACCUUUCUGUUCGGUUUCUUUAAAUUGAAACUCCCAUCAAGAAGUAUGUUCACUUACCAACAACAAGCUGAAUGCUGGAUUCUGUAUUCAACCCUGGAAUGAAGCAUCUGUAUGUUCCUUGAUCAGAG